Molecule: long non-coding RNA, 812 nt
Organism: Sorex fumeus (smoky shrew)
Lineage: Eukaryota; Metazoa; Chordata; Mammalia; Eulipotyphla; Soricidae
Exons: 6
Source: RefSeq, a predicted model, not a curated record
UCCCGCGGCCGACUCGGCGCCGCAGCGCCCGCCCCCGGCUCCGCCUGCCGCCUGCCGCCGUGGCCCCUCGCGCUAACGGUCGGGAGCGGCCCGCGCGCGCCGCCCGCCGGGGGCUCGCACCAGCCACGAGGGAGCGUCCGCGGCCCGCGCGUCCGCGCGCGCGGCUACUGAGAGGUGAUAAGUAUGAUGCUUCCUUAAUACAUUUGGAUGUUUUCUGCUAAGUUCACUUCUGAAGUAUGGGCUUCCUUCAGAUUUUGGCUGAAAUUUGUCUUGUAAUCCCCAUGUUCAUCUGCAACACGCUUGUGUUCCCCUGUGACUGAUUGGGUUUUAUGGAGAUGGGAUUUCAUAUAUGACCAAGAGCUGAAGCAUUGCGGCAAGUUAAAAAAUAAGCAACACAAAUAUCAAGAGAAUGUUAAGCGAAUCUGCAGUUCAUAAUGGAGCUACUCGACUGGCUAUUGGGAGGAGGAGAUUCUGAAGAUAGGGAGGAAGAGGUUGGAAGCAGUUGAGGAAGUCAUUAAAAAAAUGACAAUAUCAAGAUUCAGCCAUCAGUCUUUGACAUUUCCUGUGGUCUGUUUCAAUCUAGAUGCAAAGGACAUGGAAAAAUCAAGUGCUCAAGUGGUUUAAAUAUGUUUUGGAUGUCCCUAUUUAUAGACUACAGUAUUUUUCCAAUUAAAAUUCUCAGUUGUCACGAAGAAGGGGGUUAUGCUCUUUUUGAUCACCAAUUUCAUCGAAAAUGCUUGGUAUUGUAGAGUACUACCAAACAUUUUCUGUUUUAAUCAAAGUAUACAAAAAAUAAAAUCAGUUUUAUAUGU